GUGAGUCAUCGAAUCUUUGAACGCAACUUGCGCUCUCUGGUAUUCCGGAGAGCAUGCCUGUUUGAGUGUCAUGAAAUCUCAACCAUUAGGGUUUCUUAAUGGCUUGGAUUUGGGUGUUGCCAGUCUCUGGCUCGCCUUAAAGGAGUUAGCGAGUUUAACAAUGUCCUCUGGAGUAAUAAGUUUCUCUGGAAAGGCUUGUGAAGUUUGCUUCUAAUCGUCUUCGGACAAUUACUUUGACUCUGGCCUCAAAUCAGGUAGGACUACCCGCUGAACUUAAGCAUAUCAAUAAGCGGAGGA
Molecule: unclassified non-coding RNA, 297 nt
Filed under: Apiotrichum sp.
Lineage: Eukaryota; Fungi; Basidiomycota; Tremellomycetes; Trichosporonales; Trichosporonaceae
Description: partial contains 5.8S ribosomal RNA, internal transcribed spacer 2, and large subunit ribosomal RNA
Rfam family: 5.8S ribosomal RNA (bases 1-71)
Source: RNAcentral